This 253-nucleotide ribosomal RNA is filed under the name uncultured bacterium. RNAcentral describes it as "partial 16S ribosomal RNA". It matches the Rfam family "Bacterial small subunit ribosomal RNA", at positions 524 to 776 of the family's 1533-position model. The record is from RNAcentral.
GACGAAGGGGGCUAGCGUUGCUCGGAAUGACUGGGCGUAAAGGGCGCGUAGGCGGUUUGUACAGUCAGAUGUGAAAUUCCUGGGCUUAACCUGGGGGCUGCAUUUGAUACGUGCAGACUUGAGUGAGGAAGAGGGUUGUGGAAUUCCCAGUGUAGAGGUGAAAUUCGUAGAUAUUGGGAAGAACACCGGUGGCGAAGGCGGCAACCUGGUCCUUGACUGACGCUGAGGCGCGAAAGCGUGGGGAGCAAACAGG